AUUGAACGCUGGCGGCAGGCCUAACACAUGCAAGCGAGCGUGAAAGUCCUUCGGGAUGAGUAAAGCGGCGGACGGGUGAGAACGCGUAGGAAUCUGCCCUGAAGCGGGGGAUAACUUGGGGAAACUCAAGCUAAUACCGCAUAGACCUAACGGGUGAAAGAUGGGGAUCUUCGGACCUAUCGCUUCAGGAGGAGCCUGCGUCGGAUUAGCUGUUGGUGGGUAAAGGCCUACCAAGGCGACGAUCCGUAGCUGGUCUGAGAGGAUGGCCAGCCACACUGGGACUGAGACACGGCCCAGACUCCUACGGGAGGCAGCAGUGGGGAAUAUUGGACAAUGGGCGCAAGCCUGAUCCAGCCAUGCCGCGUGUGUGAAGAAGGCUCUAGGGUUGUAAAGCACUUUAAGUUGUGAGGAAGUUACGAUUGCAAAUAGUGGUCGUAAUUGACGUUAGCAACAGAAUAAGCACCGGCUAACUCCGUG
This 477-nucleotide ribosomal RNA is filed under the name uncultured bacterium. RNAcentral's name for it is "bacterial SSU rRNA". It matches the Rfam family "Bacterial small subunit ribosomal RNA", at positions 30 to 507 of the family's 1533-position model. The record is from RNAcentral.